UGCAGUUAGGUGCAGGUGCAUUUACC
Molecule: non-coding RNA, 26 nt
Filed under: Homo sapiens (human)
Lineage: Eukaryota; Metazoa; Chordata; Mammalia; Primates; Hominidae
Source: RNAcentral